This is a long non-coding RNA of Chinchilla lanigera (long-tailed chinchilla), 1469 nucleotides long. RefSeq lists it as uncharacterized. The transcript has 4 exons. The record is from RefSeq and is a predicted model, not a curated record. NCBI's taxonomy places the organism in Eukaryota, Metazoa, Chordata, Mammalia, Rodentia, Chinchillidae.
AACACAGUUGGAUAGCCACUUUCUCUUCCCUGUAUCACUUCCUCAUUCCCUGCUGCUAUACCCUGAACCUCUCAACUCACCGACUUGCUUAAACCUUUACCUUGCAGUCUGCUUCUGAGGGAUCACAAAUGAGGACGAGUUUGGCUGCAAUGAGUGCACCAGCAGAAGCCGAAGGAUAUUUCAUUCCAUACCACACAUGCAUCCCACCAUCUGUUUCCUGUUGGUACCAUGACUGAGUCAGCAGGUUUGAUGACUUCCAGUUAUGAAGAUGAGUGGGGAGGACACAGGCGAUGACAAAGACGGGGCAGGAAUGGAAGAAGCAGAGCGUAGCAAAAGGUAAUGGAGUCACUGACAGAAGCCAAACAACACCCAAAAAGGAUCAAGAUCAAAAUAUGGUGUCCCAGAAAGACCACUCGGGCUCAAUGCAGAAAGCAAAGUAGCCCAUAUGGCCUUAAACUCUCAAUUCUCCUGCCUCAGCCCAAAUUUUGAGUCUCCGUCUUGAGCUGAGCUCACCCUGGAAAGCAGAAGUGAAAAUAAAGCUUUCAGGCAGGGAGCCAACUUGCAGCUCAAGGCUGGGAAGAAUGAAAAGGCAAUUAUAUUACUGAACUAGCCACCAUUUUGUGCAACAAGAGUGUAAUCUUGCUGGAGUCCUCAAAGGAACCACAGAGAACGUCUGAAAGAAAGAAAGCUGGGCAUUUAUACACAGAAUCUCACCCUAUGUUGGUCAAAGAUUAACACACAGAAUGUUAACUCUUUCAUACUCCAGGUUUCUCAAGUGAAUUCCAAGAGAUAUCACCAAAAUGCAUAAGUGAUUACUAAAAAUGAAAAGAUUAGGGGAGAUACUGGGAGCUAGAGAUAGCAGUGGGACCUAGAUCUCCAAAGUCAAGCAAAUUUUCAGUCUGGUGUCUCUAGGGCUCUAUAGAACUGGAAUUAGGCAGAAUAGGUUCCAGACCCCUUGAAGUUGGGGAGAGGAGCCCGGCAAAAGAUAACAAAAGUGCUUUAGUUCUCUAUUGUGGAACACUCCAUAUUCCACAGCACAGUGUUCAGAGAAUACCUGAUAUCCUGCUAUGCAGUGCUGCCAAUUGUCAGAGGACAACAGAGACCAUACUCAACCUCAAGACCAAAGACAAAGUUAAACAAAUGAUUAUCAAAAGGCAGUCCUUUUCCAAUUGAGUGGGCAUGGGAAUUCAUCUGAAGCUUGCUAUACAUUUGGACCACUGGGCCCCACCCCCAAAAUUUCAAUUGGAAUGUGGAGAGCUGCACAUAUAAGCCUACAUUCAUAAUCUUUGAAAUCUAUACAUAUAAGCCUACAUUUAUCAUCUACAGUUAUAAAUCCCUCAGGCAAUUCUUAUGUAGGUGAUUCUGAACUACACUUGAGAAACACUGCCCUCAGUCUAAAUCCUGAGCCCUAUGAGGGGAGGAUGUGUUUCAUUUAUCUCUGGCUCCCUCUCCAAUACUUACCACAUCAC